GGAAUUAGAAUCUUCGAAAAGAUGAUGAUCAGCAAUGGAGCUGGAUAGUGAAUGGCUAAAGGCUCAAAUACUAUGUGGGAGGAGAGGUGGAGAAAUUCACCUCAAUCAUGAUGUUGGUGGACCCAUGAGGUUUGGGUUAGGCUCGUGACAUUAAACAAGCGCUACUAGGAGGCAACCUAGUUUUCUCUCUUUCACUUUUGUUUUUUUUUCUUAAUUUCUAGAAGGUUUAAUACCUAUUUUGGUCCCUCUUUUGGGAGGGUUUGUUCAAAGUGGUCCCUCUUUUUUUCAAAAGUUCACUUAAGUCCUACCUUUUGCAAAAACUGUUCAAAGUGGUCCUUUUUGCUAACGGCGUUAAGUUCCCUAACGAUAGAGCUGCCAGGUGUGUAACAUCUGAUUAUGUGGCAUUGUUAAUUGUUUUACAAAAUCUAUAUAAUUGUGACGUGUAAAUUAUAUUAAUUAGGGUAAAAUAAAGAAAGGAAUUAGGGUAUUGUGGAGGAAGGAGCCCACAGGGACAUUGAGUCCGAGGAUGUUUCUCCAGCGGGACAUUAGGGUGAGGGAGACGAAGGGAGCGCGCUUGCGUGUGGGCAUGAGGUGGUGGAUUUCGAGGACAAGGUAGAGUUUGUUGAGGUGAGUCAUAAGUUUGUCAAAGUGGGGGUCUCGUACUCUGUCCUCCAAACGGGUUUGGGCGGAAACGAUGGGUUUCUUCCAUCGGCGUUGGAUGAAGAGGGUAAAGGGUGAGAGGAACCUGUGUCUAGGACUAUGCAAGAAAUUCAUUGCUUGAACUCAGGUUUUGGUUCUGAUAGAACCAAUUACAGUAUUUUUGUACAGUUGAAAGAAAAAUCAUUGUUAUUCCUAAAGAGGAUCUUAGAACUCUUUCUUGAUAGAAUCACGGGGAGGCAACACCUUUCUGGUUUUUAUGUAUUGUAACCUUCUGCGUCUUGUUAGGCUUUUCCUCUGAUAUACAGAAAUAAAACCUCGUUCCUCUGUUUCCUUUCUAUCAGUGGCGUUUUCAUCUUCUCACCCUAAUUACCCCUAAUUCUUUUCUUUAUUUUACCCUAAUUAAUAUAAUUUACACGUCACAAUUAUAUAGAUUUUUUAAAACAAUUAACAAUGCCACAUAAUCAGAUAUUACACACCUGGCAGCUCUGCUGUUAAGGAACUUAACGCCGUUAGCAAAAAGGACCA
This 1185-nucleotide long non-coding RNA is filed under the name Vigna radiata. Its description in RNAcentral is "long non-coding RNA (VRAD_LNC008364)". The record is from RNAcentral. Lineage: Eukaryota; Viridiplantae; Streptophyta; Magnoliopsida; Fabales; Fabaceae.